This 424-nucleotide ribosomal RNA is filed under the name uncultured bacterium. RNAcentral's name for it is "bacterial SSU rRNA". It matches the Rfam family "Bacterial small subunit ribosomal RNA", at positions 358 to 774 of the family's 1533-position model. The record is from RNAcentral.
GGAAUCUUCCGCAAUGGACGAAAGUCUGACGGAGCAACGCCGCGUGAGUGAAGAAGGUUUUCGGAUCGUAAAGCUCUGUUGGUUGAGACGAACGUGCAGUAUACGAAUAAUGUGCUGUAAUGACGGUAUCAAACUAGAAAGCCACGGCUAACUACGUGCCAGCAGCCGCGGUAAUACGUAGGUGGCAAGCGUUGUCCGGAAUUAUUGGGCGCAAAGGGAGCGCAGGUGGGAAUGUAAGUCAGUCUUAAAAGUGCGGGGCUCAACCCCGUGAUGGGACAGAAACUACAUUUCUUGAGUGCAGGAGAGGAAAGUGGAAUUCCUAGUGUAGCGGUGAAAUGCGUAGAUAUUAGGAGGAACACCAGUAGCGAAGGCGACUUUCUGGACUGUAACUGACACUGAGGCUCGAAAGCUAGGGGAGCGAACG